Molecule: ribosomal RNA, 469 nt
Filed under: Ptychadena cf. neumanni 2 SB-2013
Lineage: Eukaryota; Metazoa; Chordata; Amphibia; Anura; Ptychadenidae
Description: partial 16S ribosomal RNA
Rfam family: Bacterial large subunit ribosomal RNA
Source: RNAcentral
GAUUUAACGGCCGCGGUACUCUGACCGUGCGAAGGUAGCACAAUCACUUGUUCUUUAAAUGAGGACUAGAAUCAAGGCGUCACGAGGGUUCCACUGUCUCCUUUUUCUAAUCAGUGAAAUUGAUCUCCCCGUGAAGAAGCGGGGAUAAUAAUAUAAGACGAGAAGACCCCAUGGAGCUUCAAACUCAACGGAUAACUCUACAACUUACUAGAUAUCUUAAGAGACCUAUCCGUUAGUUUUGGGUUGGGGUGACCACGGAGAACAGCCUAACCUCCGUAAUGAAAAGAAUAAAAUCAUAAUCUAAGAGCUACACCUCUAAGAAUUAACAAAUUAACAUACAAUGAUCCAAUUUUAUUGAUCAAUGAACCAAGUUACCCUGGGGAUAACAGCGCUAUCCACUUCUAGAGUCCAUAUCGCCAAGUGGGUUUACGACCUCGAUGUUGGAUCAGGGUGUCCGAGUGGUGCAGCC